RNAcentral lists this ribosomal RNA (513 nucleotides) under uncultured Bacillota bacterium. RNAcentral describes it as "bacterial SSU rRNA". It matches the Rfam family "Bacterial small subunit ribosomal RNA", at positions 9 to 523 of the family's 1533-position model. Lineage: Bacteria; Bacillati; Bacillota. The record is from RNAcentral.
GAGUUUGAUCCUGGCUCAGGAUGAACGCUGGCGGCGUGCCUAACACAUGCAAGUCGAGCGAGAAGGCUUUGACGGAAUCUUCGGAUGACGGAUGAGCUGGAGAGCGGCGGACGGGUGAGUAACGCGUGGGUAACCUGCCCUAUGGAGGGGGAUAACUAAGAGAAAUCUUAGCUAAUACCGCAUAAGCGCACAGUAUCGCAUGAUACAGUGUGAAAAACUCCGGUGCCAUAGGAUGGACCCGCGUCAGAUUAGCUAGUUGGUGAGAUAAAAGCUCACCAAGGCGACGAUCUGUAGCCGACCUGAGAGGGUGAUCGGCCACAUUGGGACUGAGACACGGCCCAAACUCCUACGGGAGGCAGCAGUGGGGGAUAUUGCACAAUGGGCGAAAGCCUGAUGCAGCAACGCCGCGUGAAGGAAGACGGUUUUCGGAUUGUAAACUUCUAUCAGCAGGGAAGAAAAUGACGGUACCUGACUAAGAAGCCCCGGCUAACUACGUGCCAGCAGCCGCGGUAA